GAUGAAGAACGCAGCGAAAUGCGAUAAGUAGUGUGAAUUGCAGAAUUCAGUGAAUCAUCGAAUCUUUGAACGCACAUUGCGCCUCCUGGUAUUCCGGGAGGCAUGCCUGUUCGAGCGUCAUUAAAAUCACUCAAGCUUAGGUUUACCUAUUGCUUGGUCUUGGAGAUGGAAGUCAAUUUAUUGGAAUCCUCUUCGAAAUUCAAUGGCGAAGACCCUUGCUCUCCCAAGUGUAGUAAUAACUUAUGUCACUGAAGGAAGCGAGAAAUCUUCUGCCGUAACCCCCAUAUUUUCUAUGAUUGACCUCGGAUCAGGUAGGGAUACCCGCUGAACUUAAGCAUAUCAAUAAGCGGAGGA
This 354-nucleotide unclassified non-coding RNA is filed under the name soil metagenome. RNAcentral's name for it is "partial contains 5.8S ribosomal RNA, internal transcribed spacer 2, and large subunit ribosomal RNA". The stretch from base 1 to 120 matches the Rfam family "5.8S ribosomal RNA", at positions 35 to 154 of the family's 154-position model. The record is from RNAcentral.